CUGAACUUAAGCAUAUCAAUAAGCGGAGGAAAAGAAACCAACCGGGAUUGCCUCAGUAACGGCGAGUGAAGCGGCAAGAGCUCAAAUUUGAAAGCUGGCUCCUUCGGAGUCCGCAUUGUAAUUUGCAGAGGAUGCUUUGGGUGCGGCCCCCGUCUAAGUGCCCUGGAACGGGCCGUCAGAGAGGGUGAGAAUCCCGUCUUGGGCGGGGUGUCCGUGCCCGUGUAAAGCUCCUUCGACGAGUCGAGUUGUUUGGGAAUGCAGCUCUAAAUGGGUGGUAAAUUUCAUCUAAAGCUAAAUACUGGCCGGAGACCGAUAGCGCACAAGUAGAGUGAUCGAAAGAUGAAAAGCACUUUGAAAAGAGAGUUAAACAGCACGUGAAAUUGUUGAAAGGGAAGCGCUUGCAACCAGACUCGCCCGCGGGGUUCAGCCGGCAUUCGUGCCGGUGUACUUCCCCGUGGGCGGGCCAGCGUCGGUUUGGGCGGCCGGUCAAAGGCCCCUGGAAUGUAGUGCCCUCCGGGGCACCUUAUAGCCAGGGGUGCAAUGCGGCCAGCCUAGACCGAGGAACGCGCUUCGGCUCGGACGCUGGCAUAAUGGUUGUAAACGACCCGUCUUGA
Molecule: ribosomal RNA, 614 nt
Filed under: Aspergillus carbonarius
Lineage: Eukaryota; Fungi; Ascomycota; Eurotiomycetes; Eurotiales; Aspergillaceae
Description: eukaryotic LSU rRNA
Rfam family: Eukaryotic large subunit ribosomal RNA
Source: RNAcentral